RNAcentral lists this ribosomal RNA (783 nucleotides) under uncultured Flavobacterium sp. RNAcentral's name for it is "bacterial SSU rRNA". It matches the Rfam family "Bacterial small subunit ribosomal RNA", at positions 558 to 1348 of the family's 1533-position model. Lineage: Bacteria; Pseudomonadati; Bacteroidota; Flavobacteriia; Flavobacteriales; Flavobacteriaceae. The record is from RNAcentral.
GUUUAAAGGGUCCGUAGGCGGUUUAGUAAGUCAGUGGUGAAAGCCCAUCGCUCAACGGUGGAACGGCCAUUGAUACUGCUAAACUUGAAUUAUUAGGAAGUAACUAGAAUAUGUAGUGUAGCGGUGAAAUGCUUAGAGAUUACAUGGAAUACCAAUUGCGAAGGCAGGUUACUACUAAUGGAUUGACGCUGAUGGACGAAAGCGUGGGUAGCGAACAGGAUUAGAUACCCUGGUAGUCCACGCCGUAAACGAUGGAUACUAGCUGUUGGAAGCAAUUUCAGUGGCUAAGCGAAAGUGAUAAGUAUCCCACCUGGGGAGUACGUUCGCAAGAAUGAAACUCAAAGGAAUUGACGGGGGCCCGCACAAGGCGGUGGAGCAUGUGGUUUAAUUCGAUGAUACGCGAGGAACCUUACCAAGGCUUAAAUGUAGAUUGACCGGUUUGGAAACAGACUUUUCGCAAGACAAUUUACAAGGUGCUGCAUGGUUGUCGUCAGCUCGUGCCGUGAGGUGUCAGGUUAAGUCCUAUAACGAGCGCAACCCCUGUUGUUAGUUGCCAGCGAGUCAUGUCGGGAACUCUAACGAGACUGCCAGUGCAAACUGAGAGGAAGGUGGGGAUGACGUCAAAUCAUCACGGCCCUUACGCCUUGGGCUACACACGUGCUACAAUGGCCGGUACAGAGAGCGGCCACUGGGUGACCAGGAGCGAAUCUAUAAAACCGGUCACAGUUCGGAUCGGAGUCUGCAACUCGACUCCGCGAAGCUGGAAUCGCUAGUAAUCGGAUA